RNAcentral lists this ribosomal RNA (293 nucleotides) under uncultured bacterium. RNAcentral's name for it is "partial 16S ribosomal RNA". It matches the Rfam family "Bacterial small subunit ribosomal RNA", at positions 775 to 1067 of the family's 1533-position model. The record is from RNAcentral.
GGAUUAGAUACCCUGGUAGUCCACGCCGUAAACGAUGGGCACUAAGUGUCGGCGGUUUACCGUCGGUGCCGCAGCUAACGCAGUAAGUGCCCCGCCUGGGGAGUACGGCCACAAGGUUGAAACUCAAAGGAAUUGACGGGGGCCCGCACAAGCGGUGGAGCAUGUGGUUUAAUUCGACGCAACGCGAAGAACCUUACCCAGGUUAGACACGCUGGUAGUAAGACCCUGAGAGGGGAAUGAUCCUGAAAGGGAAGCUUGCGCAGGUGCUGCAUGGCUGUCGUCAGCUCGUGCCG